GGUUAUGGCUCAGUGGUUGAGUGCUCGCCUCGCAUGUGCAAGGCCCUGGAUUCGAUCCUCAGCACCA
RNAcentral lists this transfer RNA (67 nucleotides) under Marmota monax (woodchuck). Its description in RNAcentral is "tRNA.Ala". Lineage: Eukaryota; Metazoa; Chordata; Mammalia; Rodentia; Sciuridae. The record is from RNAcentral.